RNAcentral lists this ribosomal RNA (466 nucleotides) under uncultured bacterium. RNAcentral describes it as "partial 16S ribosomal RNA". It matches the Rfam family "Bacterial small subunit ribosomal RNA", at positions 28 to 507 of the family's 1533-position model. The record is from RNAcentral.
GAUGAACGCUGGCGGCGUGCUUAACACAUGCAAGUCGAACGAUGAAGCCCAGCUUGCUGGGUGGAUUAGUGGCGAACGGGUGAGUAACACGUGAGUAACCUGCCCUUAACUCUGGGAUAAGCCUGGGAAACUGGGUCUAAUACCGGAUAGGAGCGUCCACCGCAUGGUGGGUGUUGGAAAGAUUUAUCGGUUUUGGAUGGACUUGCGGCCUAUCAGCUUGUUGGUGAGGUAAUGGCUCACCAAGGCGACGACGGGUAGCCGGCCUGAGAGGGUGACCGGCCACACUGGGACUGAGACACGGCCCAGACUCCUACGGGAGGCAGCGGUGGGGAAUAUUGCACAAUGGGCGCAAGCCUGAUGCAGCGACGCCGCGUGAGGGAUGACGGCCUUCGGGUUGUAAACCUCUUUCAGUAGGGAAGAAGCGAAAGUGACGGUACCUGCAGAAGAAGCACCGGCUAACUACGUG